UUUUUGCCUUCUUCCUCCGCUGCCGCCUCUUCCGUUCCUCUUCGAUGGCAUUCGUAGCCGUCGACGGAACGGAGAAGCGGUGCGUCCUCCUCGACUUGCUGUUGUACUUACAGUAGAUGUCUGAUCUUCCUUGUUGACAUCGAACGGUUCUUUUGCGCAUCCAAUGAUGCCAUUCUAUAUGCCUUCAUUUGUCACAUCGUUGUUGAUCCAAGGCUUGUGUUUUAGAUCCGUUAAUUGUGUUUCUCUCCCCUUUUUCAUUUUGAACUAUAAUCUCUAGUGGCCUCAUUUCCCCCUUCUUCGCCUUUGUUCUGUUGCUUCAAUUCAUUUGGAGCACCUAAUGAUGGCCUCAGUAGUGGCAGUUGUUUUCGACCAAUGUUAUACUUCACCUGAUCGGUUGUCAUGUGUUUCUCUCUUUAACCUUUGAUUGUGUUGUUGAUUCUAAUAGGUUGCUUGCUUAAUGAGUCCUUUAAUUUUGCGGCUGCAAAUGAAGUAGUUCAUUUCGAGUAAGUUCUUAUCGUUGGUUAGAUAAUUUGCUCCUGAAUUUUUAAGAGAGCAAGUUGUACACCAUUGAUGUACUUUAAGAAAGGAUAUGAUGGCUUAAUUGUAAAAGGUCUGAGCAAGAGGACAUAUAUGAUUGCAAUGAGAUGGUUUUGGGCCAAAGGAAGAGGACCCUUGCCCUUGCUCAAGUUGUAGCACUGUGGUUGUCGCAAGCUCUUCUACAUUAAGUGGAUCAUGCUUGUGCAUGACAAUGGGUUGGAGAAAAGAAAAAGGCGUGGGCUGCAUUUUAAUUAUGAAUGUUGGCCUAGACUUCUCCCUAUAUACCGAGUAGGAUGCUAGAAACCAUCUGACUGCGGUCAUGUUCUCUUCAUUGAUCAAAUUUCUAAGCUGAUCCUUGGACACUUACAUCAACUUUGCUGUUUUAGUUUUCUUUCUUGAAAGGUUGUCUGUAACUUGAGAUUUCAUGUGUUGUUGGCACUGAUUUUGAUGGUGGCGUCUACCAUUAUGUUAUUUUCUAGAUAAGGAAGCUGCCACAAAAAUGAUUGUUUUUCCCCAUGUUCUAGUGUUCUACACAAUUUUUUGGAUAAAUGAUUGCUUAUUGGUUAUGAACUUUAGGAUCAGUCAACUUUAUAUUUUUCAUACAAGUGAUAUAUUCUUUUCUUUGUGACAGUGAAAUUUUGCAUUUUUCUGGUUGUUUAUUAAUGGUUAAUUACAUAUUCUAUUAAUGUAAUGCGUAAAAAUUGGUUUCCUGCAUGAUCCAAAGAAAGCAUGUAUCUGUACUCCUCCUAUAUGGUAAUUCCAAUCAUGCAAAACUAGUUUUGCUUACUGUUUCAGUUUGAAAAGAUGAUAGUUUUUGAACUGGGUAUUUUUAGAAAAGUGGAUUGUUUUGCUUUUGGAUGUGCUUGGUUCGGUUUUGGUUAUCAACCAUUAACAAAUUGGCACAAUGCAGACUGAACCAAAUGCAUAUGCAUGUUUUGGUUAAUUCAAUUCAGAAGCUUCACGUUUGGCCAUUGGAAUUCUUUCGAUCAGGGCUUGGCUCCAUUUUCCCCUCUCAUGUUGCUGCUACCCUUGCAGUCCUUCCUGGUAGCUGUGGAGGGGUCUGACAAUAUGAUUUGGUGGUUUUAAGUUGGUGCUGAUCGACCGAGCAGCAGGGGUUGCUUGGUAGAUCAAAUUGGAGCACUAUAGGGUGAGGCUUGAACCAGGAUUUGAGAUGCUACAAUGGUGGCUUUGGUCUCUUUGCUCUUGUUAAGGUGGCAGUGAAGCCCGGGUACUGUUGAUGAUGUGGGGGCAUUCCAGUGAAGAACAGCCAAGAUGAAAGAGCUGAAACAAUGACAGAGGCCAACUAUGUGUGAGAAAAGGCAAGUUUUCCAUUCCACCCUUGAAGUUUAUACAAGAUGAGAAGCUUGCUCUUUUGGAUCAGCUUGUUGUCUUGGAAGGUCUUCUUGAUGAAGUGAACCUCCCACUAGGACAAAUUUGUCGCAUGACUUGGUAUUCUCUUGAGAUAUAUCAUCUGGAACUUGCAAUUUUGGACAAUUGAUAGAGCUGAGACUGACGUCUGGAAUGUGUGUACUCCAUCAUUAAUUAUCGAUUGCCAGAGUGGAAUAUGGUGAUGGUGCUUGGAAGUUUAUAUACAAUAUGAAGUGUCUCUCAUCAGAUUCAUUGUUGUCCUCCAUGUAUAGGAAAGAAUUAUUGGAGCACUUGACCUUCCUGUUUCUUCGACUCGAGAAUUAUUUUCCCCAACAAAUUGAUUUGCAACUCAAAUGUGGGGACUAAGGCCUUCUCCUGGUCUGCUGUUUGCGACCGCCGAAUUUUCUAUGCAUAACAAGGGCUGUGAAACUUCCUUUGUCCUUAGAGAAUCAAGGAAUGCUACAGGCCGUGGAUGUGUGAAUUUUGUGGCCAUGGCCAUGGCUUGAUUAUUCCAUAAAUGACCUCUAUUUGGGUGAGACUGACUUGUCUUAGACUCGGUAAUGACAAGAAUCCUUUAUUUCUUCGUCUACAAGCAAACGAUUCUAUUAUCUUUGGUCACCGAUGUACAUGACAUUGUAUGGUUGGUUUCAUUAUUAUGCUUCAAAAUUGUUGAAAUUGAUUUA
Molecule: non-coding RNA, 2588 nt
Organism: Musa acuminata subsp. malaccensis (wild Malaysian banana)
Lineage: Eukaryota; Viridiplantae; Streptophyta; Magnoliopsida; Zingiberales; Musaceae
Source: RefSeq, a predicted model, not a curated record